ACAAAAACAGUAGGAGACCAUUAAACAAGUGCAUGGGCAUAAAAGUGAAAGAUUUACUUUGCCGCCAACACAAAACAGACAUAAAAACAGACGAGGCGACAUAUCUCUGCAAAUUCCCACCUUCCUUGGCAGUUCAAGUCGCAAAUAACUAGCUUCAUUGAGUAAAACCAACUAGCUUCAUUGUCCUGUCCUACUCAUUCUUGAAAGUUGACUUCCUUCAUGAAACUUGAAAGGUUUAGCGUCUUUCAAUUGUUUCACCUCCUUUUCUUUCAGUUGCGUGCAACCUUCUCAACCACAGAUAAGGUUCAGAAAGUGGGCUAAAUAAAAAUAUUUUUUCAGAGGACAAGAUUAUUGAGAUUGCUAUGCUAUUAUCUGAUUAAUAUAGAUUUGAGUAAAACCAACUAGCUUCAUUGUCCUGUCCUACUCAUUCUUGAAAGUUGACUUCCUUCAUGAAACUUGAAAGGUUUAGCGUCUUUCAAUUGUUUCACCUCCUUUUCUUUCAGUUGCGUGCAACCUUCUCAACCACAGAUAAGGUUCAGAAAGUGGGCUAAAUAAAAAUAUUUUUUCAGAGGACAAGAUUAUUGAGAUUGCUAUGCUAUUAUCUGAUUAAUAUAGAUUUGAUCCUAAAAGUAGGCAUCUCUUGCUUAGCCUGAACAUUAAGCAAAACUAAAAUAACACAAGAGUCAUAGCAUAUUACAGGUUUAGUAAUAUCUUGCAAAAUAGAAUACCCACCUUCCUACCCAACCUAACUAAAACCCAGGAAAAAAAAUAAACAGAAAAAAAGGCUUUUAGCUGGAAUAGUGACAGCAUUGAUGUAAAUACAACAGGCAAUAGCAUAUUCAUAAUUUUGGGAAUGUAGUGAUCAUAUCUUAAAAGUUGAAGCAGAGUAAAAUGAUACAAGAAAAUGAAGUCCCUCACUUUUUCCGAGAAAGUAAAAACAAAACACAAGAGUGCAUAACGAUACUAGUUCCAACUUAAGUUUAAAAAAAAGGUUGAAAGUGCAUAAGAUAAAUGGAUAGCGCGGGGAAAGAAAUGAUACAGGAAAUUAUGAGCGAAGAAGCUGAUAUAUUGUAUUCCAAUGAAUAAAGGACUCCGUCUGUUCCUAACUAUUAUGCUUAUAUGACACUUUCUCUUUUGUGAUAUCCCAAAAAUGAUAGACACCAUCUGACUAGUAACAUAUUUUUAUAUCACU
RNAcentral lists this long non-coding RNA (1192 nucleotides) under Nicotiana benthamiana. RNAcentral's name for it is "long non-coding RNA (NBEN_LNC022538)". Lineage: Eukaryota; Viridiplantae; Streptophyta; Magnoliopsida; Solanales; Solanaceae. The record is from RNAcentral.